RNAcentral lists this ribosomal RNA (253 nucleotides) under uncultured bacterium. RNAcentral's name for it is "partial 16S ribosomal RNA". It matches the Rfam family "Bacterial small subunit ribosomal RNA", at positions 524 to 776 of the family's 1533-position model. The record is from RNAcentral.
GACGGGGGGUCCAAGCGUUGUUCGGAAUUAUUGGGCGUAAAGAGCUUGUAGGCGGUUUGUCGCGUCUGCUGUGAAAUUUCGGGGCUCAACCCCGAACUUGCAGUGGGUACGGGCAGACUAGAGUGUGGUAGGGGAGACUGGAAUUCCUGGUGUAGCGGUGAAAUGCGCAGAUAUCAGGAGGAACACCGAUGGCGAAGGCAGGUCUCUGGGCCACUACUGACGCUGAGAAGCGAAAGCAUGGGGAGCGAACAGG